AGAACGAACGCUGGCGGCAGGCUUAACACAUGCAAGUCGAACGCCCCGCAAGGGGAGUGGCAGACGGGUGAGUAACGCGUGGGAAUCUACCCAGUUCUACGGAAUAACACAGGGAAACUUGUGCUAAUACCGUAUACGCCCUACGGGGGAAAGAUUUAUCGGGAUUGGAUGAGCCCGCGUUGGAUUAGCUAGUUGGUGGGGUAAUGGCCUACCAAGGCGACGAUCCAUAGCUGGUCUGAGAGGAUGAUCAGCCACACUGGGACUGAGACACGGCCCAGACUCCUACGGGAGGCAGCAGUGGGGAAUAUUGGACAAUGGGCGCAAGCCUGAUCCAGCCAUGCCGCGUGAGUGAUGAAGGCCUUAGGGUUGUAAAGCUCUUUCAGUGGGAAGAUAAUGACGGUACCCACAGAAGAAGCCCGGCUAACUUCGUGCCAGCAGCCGC
Molecule: ribosomal RNA, 442 nt
Filed under: uncultured bacterium
Lineage: Bacteria
Description: SSU rRNA
Rfam family: Bacterial small subunit ribosomal RNA
Source: RNAcentral